UCCCAAAGGGAAACCCUGGUGCGUCUCUCAGUUGGUGCUGCUUCAUCCCAUGCAACCUGCAUAUACAAACACUUAUCUUAAAAAUCAAAGGGAGAUGCAACAAGGCAGUUGACAAAAGAUCCUUGUUAUGUACGGCAACGAUUACCCACGGAGGAAGGAGAGCAGUGGCUAAGGAGUAGCAAGUGUGACGUGGGAUAUGCGUGGUCACUACGCCCAUGGCGGCACCGUUACUAGUCUUUAGGAUCUGUGGUGUCAGUUUGUUAGGCAUAGUCUCUGGUUGGUAGGCUUCAGGCUAUAAAGCCUAAAUGUUGGUUAAUGAGAAAGCAAGGUGGAGAUUGAGAUCAAUCUCUCCCGCUUCCCUGUUCAUGGGUGACGCCAAGCACAGCGUUGCUGCCUCGCCGCCACUCCACUCUCGCUCACCAGUCUCUCUCUCGAAUCUCCUACCUGAUACCCUAGCCCGCCACAACAAUCCUAGUUCUCAAAAAGAACUGUAAAAAUCUAGGUAGAGAAACCACAUGCAGUUCAUAACAUGAUACACAAGUAUUCUAGAUGCACCAGAAUGCUAAAUUCUAGAUUGGCUAAUUGUAAUAUUUUUAAAGUGAUUUCGAAGUUGAUAGGACAGCUACACAGUCCAAAUAUUAACUAGAGCUGGAAAUUUAUACCUUCUUGUUGCA
This is a long non-coding RNA of Sorghum bicolor (sorghum), 674 nucleotides long. RefSeq lists it as uncharacterized. Lineage: Eukaryota; Viridiplantae; Streptophyta; Magnoliopsida; Poales; Poaceae. The transcript has 2 exons. The record is from RefSeq and is a predicted model, not a curated record.